CCUACGGGUGGCAGCAGUGAGGAAUAUUGGUCAAUGGGCGGGAGCCUGAACCAGCCAAGCCGCGUGAGGGAAGACGGCCCUAUGGAUUGUAAACCUCUUUAGGCGGGGAGCAAUGCCGGGCACGCGUGCCCGGAGGGAGAGUACCCGCAGAAUAAGCAUCGGCUAACUCCGUGCCAGCAGCCGCGGUAAUACGGAGGUUGCGAGCGUUAUCCGGAUUUAUUGGGUUAAAGGGGUGCGUAGGCGGAUUUUUAAGUCAGCGGUAAAAUGUCGGGGCUCAACCCGGGCCGGCCGUUGAAACUGGGGAUCUUGAGUGGGCGAGAAGUAUGCGGAAUGCGGGGUGUAGCGGUGAAAUGCAUAGAUAUCACGCAGAACUCCAGUUGCGAAGGCAGCAUGCCGG
RNAcentral lists this ribosomal RNA (397 nucleotides) under uncultured bacterium. RNAcentral describes it as "partial 16S ribosomal RNA". It matches the Rfam family "Bacterial small subunit ribosomal RNA", at positions 338 to 732 of the family's 1533-position model. The record is from RNAcentral.